This 253-nucleotide unclassified non-coding RNA is filed under the name uncultured Ignavibacteria bacterium. Its description in RNAcentral is "contains 16S-23S intergenic spacer region". It matches the Rfam family "Bacterial small subunit ribosomal RNA", at positions 524 to 776 of the family's 1533-position model. Lineage: Bacteria; Pseudomonadati; Ignavibacteriota; Ignavibacteria. The record is from RNAcentral.
UACAGAGGAUGCGAGCGUUGUCCGGAGUUACUGGGUGUAAAGGGUGCGUAGGCUGUUCUGUGCGUCAGAGGUGAAAUCCACGGGCUUAACUCGUGGGGUGCCUUUGAUACGGCAGGGCUUGAGUACGAGAGAGGUGCGUGGAAUUCCUGGUGUAGCAGUGAAAUGCGUAGAUAUCAGGAGGAACACCGGUGGCGAAGGCGGCGCACUGGCUCGUAACUGACGCUGAGGCACGAAAGCGUGGGGAUCAAACAGG